RNAcentral lists this ribosomal RNA (474 nucleotides) under Centipeda infelix. RNAcentral's name for it is "bacterial SSU rRNA". It matches the Rfam family "Bacterial small subunit ribosomal RNA", at positions 28 to 473 of the family's 1533-position model. Lineage: Bacteria; Bacillati; Bacillota; Negativicutes; Selenomonadales; Selenomonadaceae. The record is from RNAcentral.
GACGAACGCUGGCGGCGUGCUUAACACAUGCAAGUCGAACGGAGCGAAUGAAAGCUUGCUUUUAUGAGCUUAGUGGCAAACGGGUGAGUAACACGUAGACAACCUGCCGACAGGAUGGGGACAACAUUCCGAAAGGAAUGCUAAUACCGAAUGAAGCGGAGGAGAGGCAUCUCUCCUCCGUGAAAGAUGGCCUCUAUUUAUAAGCUAUCACCUGUCGAUGGGUCUGCGUCUGAUUAGCUAGUUGGUGAGGUAAUGGCUCACCAAGGCGACGAUCAGUAGCCGGUCUGAGAGGAUGAACGGCCACAUUGGGACUGAGACACGGCCCAGACUCCUACGGGAGGCAGCAGUGGGGAAUCUUCCGCAAUGGGCGCAAGCCUGACGGAGCAACGCCGCGUGAGUGAAGAAGGUCUUCGGAUCGUAAAGCUCUGUUGAUGGGGACGAACGUACGGAGUGCGAAUAGUGCUCUGUAAUGAC